CAGUAGCCGCGGUAAUACGGAGGGUGCAAGCGUUAAUCGGAAUUACUGGCGUAAAGCGCACGCAGGCGGUUUGUUAAGUCAGAUGUGAAAUCCCCGAGCUUAACUUGGGAACUGCAUUUGAAACUGGCAAGCUAGAGUCUUGUAGAGGGGGGUAGAAUUCCAGGUGUAGCGGUGAAAUGCGUAGAGAUCUGGAGGAAUACCGGUGGCGAAGGCGGCCCCCUGGACAAAGACUGACGCUCAGGUGCGAAAGCGUGGGGAGUAAACAGGAUUAGAUACCCCAGUAGUCCCUGUCUCUUAUACA
Molecule: ribosomal RNA, 301 nt
Filed under: uncultured bacterium
Lineage: Bacteria
Description: partial 16S ribosomal RNA
Rfam family: Bacterial small subunit ribosomal RNA
Source: RNAcentral